UACGUAGGGGGCAAGCGUUGUCCGGAAUCAUUGGGCGUAAAGAGCUCGUAGGCGGUUUGUCGCGUCGAAUGUGAAAACCCGGGGCUCAACUCCGGGCCUGCAUUCGAUACGGGCAGACUAGAGUUCGGUAGGGGAGUCUGGAAUUCCUGGUGUAGCGGUGAAAUGCGCAGAUAUCAGGAGGAACACCGGUGGCGAAGGCGGGACUCUGGGCCGAUACUGACGCUGAGGAGCGAAAGCGUGGGGAGCGAACAGG
RNAcentral lists this ribosomal RNA (253 nucleotides) under uncultured bacterium. RNAcentral's name for it is "partial 16S ribosomal RNA". It matches the Rfam family "Bacterial small subunit ribosomal RNA", at positions 524 to 776 of the family's 1533-position model. The record is from RNAcentral.